UACGUAGGUGGCAAGCGUUGUCCGGAAUUAUUGGGCGUAAAGCGCGCGCAGGCGGUCCUUUAAGUCUGAUGUGAAAUCCCACGGCUCAACCGUGGAACGGCCUCGGAUACGGGCGGCCUCGAGGGGGGUAGGGGCAUCUGGAACUGUGAGUGGAGCGGUGAAAUGCGUUGAUAUUCACAGGAACUCCGGUGGCGAAGGCGAGGUGCUGGACCCCAUCUGACGCUGAGGCGCGAAAGCCAGGGGAGCGAACGGG
Molecule: ribosomal RNA, 253 nt
Filed under: uncultured bacterium
Lineage: Bacteria
Description: partial 16S ribosomal RNA
Rfam family: Bacterial small subunit ribosomal RNA
Source: RNAcentral